GAUGAACGCUGGCGGCGUGCCUAAUACAUGCAAGUCGAGCGAACAGACGAGGAGCUUGCUCCUCUGACGUUAGCGGCGGACGGGUGAGUAACACGUGGAUAACCUACCUAUAAGACUGGGAUAACUUCGGGAAACCGGAGCUAAUACCGGAUAAUAUAUUGAACCGCAUGGUUCAAUAGUGAAAGACGGUUUUGCUGUCACUUAUAGAUGGAUCCGCGCCGCAUUAGCUAGUUGGUAAGGUAACGGCUUACCAAGGAAACGAUGCGUAGCCGACCUGAGAGGGUGUACGGCCACACUGGAACUGAGACACGGUCCAGACUCCUACGGGAGGCAGCAGUAGGGAAGCUUCCGCAAUGGGCGAAAGCUUGACGGAGCAACGCCGCGUGAGUGAUGAAGGUCUUCGGAUCGUAAAACGCUGUUAUUAGGGAAGAACAAAUGUGUAAGUAACUAUGCACGUCUUGACGGUACCGAAUCAGAAAGCCACGGCUAACUACGU
This 496-nucleotide ribosomal RNA is filed under the name uncultured bacterium. RNAcentral describes it as "partial 16S ribosomal RNA". It matches the Rfam family "Bacterial small subunit ribosomal RNA", at positions 28 to 506 of the family's 1533-position model. The record is from RNAcentral.